This 694-nucleotide ribosomal RNA is filed under the name uncultured bacterium. RNAcentral describes it as "bacterial SSU rRNA". It matches the Rfam family "Bacterial small subunit ribosomal RNA", at positions 111 to 823 of the family's 1533-position model. The record is from RNAcentral.
UAACGCGUGGGUAACCUGCCUUGUACUGGGGGACAACAGUUGGAAACGACUGCUAAUACCGCAUAAGCGCACAGCUUCGCAUGAAGCAGUGUGAAAAACUCCGGUGGUACAAGAUGGACCCGCGUCUGAUUAGCUGGUUGGUGAGGUAACGGCCCACCAAGGCGACGAUCAGUAGCCGGCCUGAGAGGGUGAACGGCCACAUUGGGACUGAGACACGGCCCAAACUCCUACGGGAGGCAGCAGUGGGGAAUAUUGCACAAUGGGGGAAACCCUGAUGCAGCAACGCCGCGUGAGUGAAGAAGUAUUUCGGUAUGUAAAGCUCUAUCAGCAGGAAAGAAAAUGACGGUACCUGACUAAGAAGCCCCGGCUAACUACGUGCCAGCAGCCGCGGUAAUACGUAGGGGGCAAGCGUUAUCCGGAUUUACUGGGUGUAAAGGGAGCGUAGACGGUUUUGCAAGUCUGAAGUGAAAGCCCGGGGCUUAACCCCGGGACUGCUUUGGAAACUGUAGAACUAGAGUGCAGGAGAGGUAAGUGGAAUUCCUAGUGUAGCGGUGAAAUGCGUAGAUAUUAGGAGGAACACCAGUGGCGAAGGCGGCUUACUGGACUGUAACUGACGUUGAGGCUCGAAAGCGUGGGGAGCAAACAGGAUUAGAUACCCUGGUAGUCCACGCCGUAAACGAUGAUUACUAGGUGU